RNAcentral lists this transfer RNA (65 nucleotides) under bovine gut metagenome. It matches the Rfam family "tRNA", at positions 5 to 66 of the family's 71-position model. From Rfam's summary of the family: Transfer RNA (tRNA) molecules are approximately 80 nucleotides in length. Their secondary structure includes four short double-helical elements and three loops (D, anti-codon, and T loops). The record is from RNAcentral.
GAGUAGUUCAACGGUUAGAGCACUCGGCUUAUAUCCGAGGAGUUGUGGGUUCAAAUCCUACCUCU